This 559-nucleotide ribosomal RNA is filed under the name uncultured Rhytismataceae. RNAcentral's name for it is "eukaryotic LSU rRNA". The stretch from base 196 to 349 matches the Rfam family "5.8S ribosomal RNA". Lineage: Eukaryota; Fungi; Ascomycota; Leotiomycetes; Rhytismatales; Rhytismataceae. The record is from RNAcentral.
CUUGGUCAUUUAGAGGAAGUAAAAGUCGUAACAAGGUUUCCGUAGGUGAACCUGCGGAAGGAUCAUUAUAGAAUAUCAGGCUCUACCGCCCUAUUCUCACCCUGUGUAUACCGAACUCUGUUGCUUUGGCAAGCUCCUUGCCAGAGGACCUAAACCCUCGAAUUUGUGCUGUCUGAGUAUUAUAUAAUAAGUUAAAACUUUCAACAACGGAUCUCUUGGUUUUGGCAUCGAUGAAGAACGCAGCGAAAUGCGAUAAGUAAUGUGAAUUGCGGACUUCAGUGAAUCAUCGAAUCUUUGAACGCACAUUGCGCUCCCUGGUAUUCCGGGGAGCAUGCCUGUUCGAGCGUCAUUACAACCCUCACGCCACCGCGUGGUAUUGGGCUCGCCCCACCGGCCUGCCUCAAAGUCAGUGGCAAGCUUCACACAGCCCCAAAGCGUAGUAACAAUUCGCCGCUUUCUGGUGCUGCGUGACAGCCUGUCAGCAACCCCCACACUCAAAGGUUGACCUCGAAUCAGGUAGGGAUACCCGCUGAACUUAAGCAUAUCAAUAAGCGGAGGA